AAAAUGCGAUACGUAAUGCGAUCUGCAUGAACCUGUGAGUCAUCGAGUCUUUGAACGCAACUUGCACCCUUUUUGGGUAUGUCUGUUUGAGUAUCAUAAUACCAAUUUUGUCAUCAUUAUAUAUAAUGACGACAAAGACUUGUCCGGUCAGUUUGGCCGGAUUAAAAGGGUGUGUUCUCCAACUUUGUGAAUGGGGUUGUAGAACGGUGUAAACCGAGCUAGAGGCCUUUUUGGUCUUGUCGGUGUGACCCUUCCUCAACUACCCUCCUAACUUUGGUCUCAAAUCAGGCAAGGCUACCCGCUGAACUUAA
RNAcentral lists this unclassified non-coding RNA (311 nucleotides) under uncultured Basidiomycota. Its description in RNAcentral is "sequence contains ITS1". The stretch from base 1 to 96 matches the Rfam family "5.8S ribosomal RNA", at positions 50 to 154 of the family's 154-position model. The record is from RNAcentral. Lineage: Eukaryota; Fungi; Basidiomycota.